RNAcentral lists this long non-coding RNA (1100 nucleotides) under Equus caballus (horse). RNAcentral describes it as "lncRNA (ENSECAG00000046790.1)". Lineage: Eukaryota; Metazoa; Chordata; Mammalia; Perissodactyla; Equidae. The record is from RNAcentral.
CGGGGGAGGGAGGAGAGUCCUCACUCUAAUGGAACUCGUGACCUAGGAAAGACUCUGGCCUGCGUCUCUUCUCCAUAGAGAAUUCCCACGGGCCGUGGACCGUAGUGUCUGGUCCCGUGAAGGCUCGGAGCUGGGUGCACCAGGCCGUCCAGACUGACGGCUCAGAGAGCCUGUGCUGCAAGCCAGGCCAGUGGGAACUGGGCCUGGAGCAUGUUUGCUUCAGCUCCAUAACUCCCCACCUUGCUCCAGAUCCUGGGCUCCCCAGUGGGCUCUUCACUGCCCUACACAAAACAGCCCCCAAGCGGGGAGGAGAGGGCUGCGCGUGCCGGCACGUUUCCGCGAAGACUCCACUCUGUUCUCUUGCUUUUGUGCAUUUCCUGCUGGGCUCGGCCUUGCAGCUGGCUCUUUAAGGCUGAGGCUACGCAAAGUUCUCAAUUCUGAAAGAACUGUGGAUAGCGGGUGAAGUUUCCUGAAUAAGAGAUGCUUUUUACCACAGUCCCAUGCUACUCAGGGGUCACCCCCUCUUUAAAAUGGAGUAACAUUUUUGUUCGUUUCUGCUUAUCAAAACCAUACAUGCUCAGUGUAAAAAAAAUUAUAAGCAAAAUAGAAAGCUAAGCACAGAUUUCUCUGGAAAGGACAGAGCUGGCCAGUCUCCCUGUGUGGAAAACAAUAGCUCGGCGAAGCACCCGGCUUUCUCAAGUUGCUUGACCUCCAGUCUCGCUCCUGAUUCUUGAUGACAAAACACAUUCAGUGCCCUUGAUUGAUUUAGCGGAGAAACUGCAAGAUUGGAGGAUGGAACGCAGCCAGUCCUGCCUGCAAAUGGAAUGCCUCGGCUGUGAUGGUCUUGUGUUUUGAACGAAGAUUGGGUCAGUUGCGGGUGGGCCAACAGCCGAGGUUGGAAGCUGUGAAAAUCCAGCCUCCUUAGUUCUUGCUGGGCAAAUGCCCUGUCCCCAAGGCACUGAUCCAGACCCUCUCCCUGCUCCAUUUUUUCCUCCUAUAUUUACCCCUGACUCCUGUUGUAUUUGUCCAAGAUACUUAGGCUUUUAUAUUUUUUCUCUGCUCACUUUGCUGUAUCUUUGCCAAAUAGCCUGAGUUUUAGG